GACGAACGCUGGCGGCGUGCUUAACACAUGCAAGUCGAACGGAAAGGCCCUGCUCUUGUGGGGUGCUCGAGUGGCGAACGGGUGAGUAACACGCGAGUAACCUGCCCUUGUCUGUGGGAUAACUCCAGGAAACUGGGGCUAAUACCGGAUAGGAGCUCCUGCUGCAUGGUGGGGGUUGGAAAGUUUCGGCGGUUGGGGAUGGACUGGCGGCUUAUCAGCCUGAUGGUCGGGUAGUGGCUUACCAAGGUUUAGACGGCUAGGCCGCCUGAGAGGGGAACCGGGGACGUAGGGCCUAAGCUACGGACCAGACUGCAAUAGGACGCAAAGGUUGAAAAUAUGACGCAGCAAAGCGGAGCCUGGGGCAGCGGCGCUCCGAGCGGGAAGCUGGGCUUCUGGGGAAGAACAGAUUUCGCCUGUAACGGGGCGGGAGUGACGGUACUGGAUAAAAAAGCAACGGCUAACUACGUG
RNAcentral lists this ribosomal RNA (468 nucleotides) under uncultured bacterium. RNAcentral describes it as "partial 16S ribosomal RNA". It matches the Rfam family "Bacterial small subunit ribosomal RNA", at positions 28 to 507 of the family's 1533-position model. The record is from RNAcentral.